GGUUAAGCGACUAAGCGUACACGGUGGAUGCCCUGGCAGUCAGAGGCGAUGAAGGACGUGCUAAUCUGCGAUAAGCGUCGGUAAGGUGAUAUGAACCGUUAUAACCGGCGAUUUCCGAAUGGGGAAACCCAGUGUGUUUCGACACACUAUCAUUAACUGAAUCCAUAGGUUAAUGAGGCGAACCGGGGGAACUGAAACAUCUAAGUACCCCGAGGAAAAGAAAUCAACCGAGAUUCCCCCAGUAGCGGCGAGCGAACGGGGAGCAGCCCAGAGCCUGAAUCAGUGUGUGUGUUAGUGGAAGCGUCUGGAAAGGCGCGCGAUACAGGGUGACAGCCCCGUACACAAAAAUGCACAUACUGUGAGCUCGAUGAGUAGGGCGGGACACGUGGUAUCCUGUCUGAAUAUGGGGGGACCAUCCUCCAAGGCUAAAUACUCCUGACUGACCGAUAGUGAACCAGUACCGUGAGGGAAAGGCGAAAAGAACCCCGGCGAGGGGAGUGAAAAAGAACCUGAAACCGUGUACGUACAAGCAGUGGGAGCCUCUUAAUGGGGUGACUGCGUACCUUUUGUAUAAUGGGUCAGCGACUUAUAUUCUGUAGCAAGGUUAACCGAAUAGGGGAGCCGAAGGGAAACCGAGUCUUAACUGGGCGUUAAGUUGCAGGGUAUAGACCCGAAACCCGGUGAUCUAGCCAUGGGCAGGUUGAAGGUUGGGUAACACUAACUGGAGGACCGAACCGACUAAUGUUGAAAAAUUAGCGGAUGACUUGUGGCUGGGGGUGAAAGGCCAAUCAAACCGGGAGAUAGCUGGUUCUCCCCGAAAGCUAUUUAGGUAGCGCCUCGUGAAUUCAUCUCCGGGGGUAGAGCACUGUUUCGGCAAGGGGGUCAUCCCGACUUACCAACCCGAUGCAAACUGCGAAUACCGGAGAAUGUUAUCACGGGAGACACACGGCGGGUGCUAACGUCCGUCGUGAAGAGGGAAACAACCCAGACCGCCAGCUAAGGUCCCAAAGUCAUGGUUAAGUGGGAAACGAUGUGGGAAGGCCCAGACAGCCAGGAUGUUGGCUUAGAAGCAGCCAUCAUUUAAAGAAAGCGUAAUAGCUCACUGGUCGAGUCGGCCUGCGCGGAAGAUGUAACGGGGCUAAACCAUGCACCGAAGCUGCGGCAGCGACGCUUAUGCGUUGUUGGGUAGGGGAGCGUUCUGUAAGCCUGUGAAGGUGUACUGUGAGGUAUGCUGGAGGUAUCAGAAGUGCGAAUGCUGACAUAAGUAACGAUAAAGCGGGUGAAAAGCCCGCUCGCCGGAAGACCAAGGGUUCCUGUCCAACGUUAAUCGGGGCAGGGUGAGUCGACCCCUAAGGCGAGGCCGAAAGGCGUAGUCGAUGGGAAACAGGUUAAUAUUCCUGUACUUGGUGUUACUGCGAAGGGGGGACGGAGAAGGCUAUGUUGGCCGGGCGACGGUUGUCCCGGUUUAAGCGUGUAGGCUGGUUUUCCAGGCAAAUCCGGAAAAUCAAGGCUGAGGCGUGAUGACGAGGCACUACGGUGCUGAAGCAACAAAUGCCCUGCUUCCAGGAAAAGCCUCUAAGCAUCAGGUAACAUCAAAUCGUACCCCAAACCGACACAGGUGGUCAGGUAGAGAAUACCAAGGCGCUUGAGAGAACUCGGGUGAAGGAACUAGGCAAAAUGGUGCCGUAACUUCGGGAGAAGGCACGCUGAUAUGUAGGUGAAGUCCCUCGCGGAUGGAGCUGAAAUCAGUCGAAGAUACCAGCUGGCUGCAACUGUUUAUUAAAAACACAGCACUGUGCAAACACGAAAGUGGACGUAUACGGUGUGACGCCUGCCCGGUGCCGGAAGGUUAAUUGAUGGGGUUAGCGGUAACGCGAAGCUCUUGAUCGAAGCCCCGGUAAACGGCGGCCGUAACUAUAACGGUCCUAAGGUAGCGAAAUUCCUUGUCGGGUAAGUUCCGACCUGCACGAAUGGCGUAAUGAUGGCCAGGCUGUCUCCACCCGAGACUCAGUGAAAUUGAACUCGCUGUGAAGAUGCAGUGUACCCGCGGCAAGACGGAAAGACCCCGUGAACCUUUACUAUAGCUUGACACUGAACAUUGAGCCUUGAUGUGUAGGAUAGGUGGGAGGCUUUGAAGUGUGGACGCCAGUCUGCAUGGAGCCGGCCUUGAAAUACCACCCUUUAAUGUUUGAUGUUCUAACGUUGGCCCCUGAUCGGGGUUGCGGACAGUGUCUGGUGGGUAGUUUGACUGGGGCGGUCUCCUCCUAAAGAGUAACGGAGGAGCACGAAGGUUGGCUAAUCCUGGUCGGACAUCAGGAGGUUAGUGCAAUGGCAUAAGCCAGCUUGACUGCGAGCGUGACGGCGCGAGCAGGUGCGAAAGCAGGUCAUAGUGAUCCGGUGGUUCUGAAUGGAAGGGCCAUCGCUCAACGGAUAAAAGGUACUCCGGGGAUAACAGGCUGAUACCGCCCAAGAGUUCAUAUCGACGGCGGUGUUUGGCACCUCGAUGUCGGCUCAUCACAUCCUGGGGCUGAAGUAGGUCCCAAGGGUAUGGCUGUUCGCCAUUUAAAGUGGUACGCGAGCUGGGUUUAGAACGUCGUGAGACAGUUCGGUCCCUAUCUGCCGUGGGCGCUGGAGAACUGAGGGGGGCUGCUCCUAGUACGAGAGGACCGGAGUGGACGCAUCACUGGUGUUCGGGUUGUCAUGCCAAUGGCACUGCCCGGUAGCUAAAUGCGGAAGAGAUAAGUGCUGAAAGCAUCUAAGCACGAAACUUGCCCCGAGAUGAGUUCUCCCUGACUCCUUGAGAGUCCUGAAGGAACGUUGAAGACGACGACGUUGAUAGGCCGGGUGUGUAAGCGCAGCGAUGCGUUGAGCUAACCGGUACUAAUGAACCGUGAGGCUUAACCUU
RNAcentral lists this ribosomal RNA (2905 nucleotides) under Escherichia coli. Its description in RNAcentral is "23S ribosomal RNA". It matches the Rfam family "Bacterial large subunit ribosomal RNA". The record is from RNAcentral. Lineage: Bacteria; Pseudomonadati; Pseudomonadota; Gammaproteobacteria; Enterobacterales; Enterobacteriaceae.